This 253-nucleotide ribosomal RNA is filed under the name uncultured bacterium. Its description in RNAcentral is "partial 16S ribosomal RNA". It matches the Rfam family "Bacterial small subunit ribosomal RNA", at positions 524 to 776 of the family's 1533-position model. The record is from RNAcentral.
CACGUAGGGCGCAAGCGUUGUCCGGAAUUAUUGGGCGUAAAGAGCUCGUAGGCGGUCUGUUGCGUCCGCUGUGAAAACCCGGGGCUUAACCCCUGGCUUGCAGUGGAUACGGACAGACUAGAGGUAGGUAGGGGAGAAUGGAAUUCCCGGUGUAGCGGUGAAAUGCGCAGAUAUCGGGAGGAACACCGGUGGCGAAGGCAGCUCGCUGGGACGGUACUGACGCUGAGACGCGAAAGCGUGGGGAGCAAACAGG